AAGUCGAACGGUAACAUUUCUAGCUUGCUAGAAGAUGACGAGUGGCGGACGGGUGAGUAAUGCUUGGGAACUUGCCUUUGCGAGGGGGAUAACAGUUGGAAACGACUGCUAAUACCGCAUAAUGUCUUCGGACCAAACGGGGCUUCGGCUCCGGCGCAAAGAGAGGCCCAAGUGAGAUUAGCUAGUUGGUAAGGUAACGGCUUACCAAGGCGACGAUCUCUAGCUGUUCUGAGAGGAAGAUCAGCCACACUGGGACUGAGACACGGCCCAGACUCCUACGGGAGGCAGCAGUGGGGAAUAUUGCACAAUGGGGGAAACCCUGAUGCAGCCAUGCCGCGUGUGUGAAGAAGGCCUUCGGGUUGUAAAGCACUUUCAGUUGUGAGGAAAAGUUAGUAGUUAAUACCUGCUAGCCGUGACGUUAACAACAGAAGAAGCACCGGCUAACUCCGUGCCAGCAGCCGCGGUAAUACGGAGGGUGCGAGCGUUAAUCGGAAUUACUGGGCGUAAAGCGCACGCAGGCGGUUUGUUAAGCUAGAUGUGAAAGCCCCGGGCUCAACCUGGGAUGGUCAUUUAGAACUGGCAGACUAGAGUCUUGGAGAGGGGAGUGGAAUUCCAGGUGUAGCGGUGAAAUGCGUAGAUAUCUGGAGGAACAUCAGUGGCGAAGGCGACUCCCUGGCCAAAGACUGACGCUCAUGUGCGAAAGUGUGGGUAGCGAACAGGAUUAGAUACCCUGGUAGUCCACACCGUAAACGCUGUCUACUAGCUGUGUGUGUCUUUAAGACGUGCGUAGCGAAGCUAACGCGCUAAGUAGACCGCCUGGGGAGUACGGCCGCAAGGUUAAAACUCAAAU
This 850-nucleotide ribosomal RNA is filed under the name marine metagenome. RNAcentral's name for it is "bacterial SSU rRNA". It matches the Rfam family "Bacterial small subunit ribosomal RNA", at positions 59 to 906 of the family's 1533-position model. The record is from RNAcentral.